GAUGAACGCUGGCGGCGUGCUUAACACAUGCAAGUCGAGCGAAGCACUUUGAAUUUUUCGGAAUGAGAAGUGACUGAGCGGCGGACGGGUGAGUAACGCGUGGGUAACCUGCCUCAUACAGGGGGACAACAGUUAGAAAUGACUGCUAAUACCGCAUAAGCGCACGUCAUCGCAUGAUGGUGUGUGAAAAACUCCGGUGGUAUGAGAUGGACCCGCGUCUGAUUAGCUAGUUGGUGGGGUAACGGCCUACCAAGGCGACGAUCAGUAGCCGGCCUGAGAGGGUGAACGGCCACAUUGGGACUGAGACACGGCCCAA
RNAcentral lists this ribosomal RNA (316 nucleotides) under uncultured bacterium. RNAcentral's name for it is "bacterial SSU rRNA". It matches the Rfam family "Bacterial small subunit ribosomal RNA", at positions 28 to 334 of the family's 1533-position model. The record is from RNAcentral.